CAGCAUUGCCAGAAGAGAAAUCUGUGGCGCAAAUACGGUGUCAUGUGACCAUUUGGCUUCAGUUGACUGGACCAGCUACUGUCAUCCAUGCCUGGAAAGUCAUCCACAGGCUGGCCAGAAGCCCAUGAAGUGACCUGGGAACGGGCAUUGCUGGACGGUGGCAACAAUCCAGUGGGGUCUUCUCUUCAUGGAAGUCUGAACUUGAAACAUAUAAGAAAUUGACACUGCCACUGGAGUUGUGCAGAGGCCAGAAAGAGGACAGGUGGUAGAUACUGUGGGUAAGGAAAAGCCAGGAGGUGAGCAGGAAACCAAGUCAGAAGUCAGAGGCACAGUCAACGAAGCAGUGCCACGAGGAUGGUGCCAAUGCCUGUGGUUGCCCAGCAACCACAUUUCAUCAAUCUGAAGAUGCACCUUUCCCCGCCCCCCGCCCCGCAUUUUGGCAUUUUGGAAUGUGUCUAACAACAGACGAUGUCUUAUUUGCUGCUUUUGGUCGGGCGGCAGCCCUGAGGUUGCUGGGACUGCCCGCAGGUAGGUGAACUCCUAGAGCGUUGUGAUCCCCACGGGCAGAGCAGGCGCUGGUGGCUUUGGGAACACCGC
RNAcentral lists this long non-coding RNA (597 nucleotides) under Homo sapiens (human). RNAcentral's name for it is "non-protein coding lnc-KNTC1-4:1". The record is from RNAcentral. Lineage: Eukaryota; Metazoa; Chordata; Mammalia; Primates; Hominidae.